UGGGGAAUAUUGCACAAUGGGCGAAAGCCUGAUGCAGCAACGCCGCGUGAGUGAUGAAGGCCUUCGGGUUGUAAAGCUCUGUCUUUUGGGACGAUAAUGACGGUACCAAAGGAGGAAGCCACGGCUAACUACGUGCCAGCAGCCGCGGUAAUACGUAGGUGGCAAGCGUUGUCCGGAUUUACUGGGCGUAAAGGAUGCGUAGGCGGAUUUUUAAGUGAGAUGUGAAAUACCCGGGCUUAACUUGGGUGCUGCAUUUCAAACUGGGAAUCUAGAGUGCGGGAGAGGAGAAUGGAAUUCCUAGUGUAGCGGUGAAAUGCGUAGAGAUUAGGAAGAACACCAGUGGCGAAGGCGAUUCUCUGGACCGUAACUGACGCUGAGGCAUGAAAGCGUGGGUAGCAAACAGGAUUAGAUACCCUGGUAGUCCACGCCGUAAACGAUGAGUACUAGGUGUAGGAGGUAUCGACCCCGUUCUGUGCCGCAGUUAACACAAUAAGUACUCCGCCUGGGAAGUACGAUCGCAAGAUUAAAA
RNAcentral lists this ribosomal RNA (529 nucleotides) under uncultured bacterium. Its description in RNAcentral is "partial 16S ribosomal RNA". It matches the Rfam family "Bacterial small subunit ribosomal RNA", at positions 355 to 899 of the family's 1533-position model. The record is from RNAcentral.